Molecule: ribosomal RNA, 204 nt
Filed under: uncultured bacterium
Lineage: Bacteria
Description: partial 16S ribosomal RNA
Rfam family: Bacterial small subunit ribosomal RNA
Source: RNAcentral
ACGCUCGAUACCUACGGGGGCAGCAGUGGGGAAUAUUGCACAAUGGGGGAAACCCUGAUGCAGCAACGCCGCGUGAAGGAAGACGGUUUUCGGAUUGUAAACUUCUGUUCUUAGUGAAGAUAGUGACGGUAGCUAAGGAGCAAGCCACGGCUAACUACGUGCCAGCACGCCGACGGUAAUCUGGAGGCGGGCGUGGACGAAGGC